RNAcentral lists this long non-coding RNA (1002 nucleotides) under Sus scrofa (pig). RNAcentral's name for it is "lncRNA (ENSSSCG00025067676.1, ENSSSCG00030008956.1)". Lineage: Eukaryota; Metazoa; Chordata; Mammalia; Artiodactyla; Suidae. The record is from RNAcentral.
GGUUAAGCCAACAUUGGAUGCCAUGCCUUCCUGCAAGGGGAGUGAUUUUAACUAUGGCUAGAUUUGGUCCAUUAACGCUCCGUGAAGGAUUUGGGGUCUGUGUUCCUGAGGCUUAUCGGGCCAUGGCUUCUUUUCUUGUGAUGCCUUUGGCUGGAUUAUCCAGAUAAUUCUUCACCGAAUGAAUCGAGCUGCAGUCCCUCCGCUUCAGUUUUCGGAGUGGUUUGUGAAAGUUCCUUGGGCGGCGAAGGCCCGACCCCACCAGCUGUUUACAAUCCAUCAUCCAGCAGUUUCCAUGUGGUUGUCAUGCUGCUUGUGACGGGAAAGAGAAUCUCGGUGUCCAAAUACUGGACUUGCAGCUUCAUAAAUCAGGAAGCUCUCGCCAUUCAAAUCAUCAUAUUGACAGCAAAUUUGCAUAAUUUUCCUAGUUUGCUUUGCGGUUGAGGUCAGGUCUCUCCUGUUCUCAGUGGGUGGCCCCUGGGAAGCGGCCAAGUGGGGGCCUUAAACUGGGGGGGCAUCAGAGGCGCUUGGAGGGGUGAGAGAAGCCUGGGCGGAUGUGUGUGGGGGGUCUCUCUGGGGAGCAGCUUGCCAGGCCUCAGUGACAAUGCCUACCCACGGUGGCACAGCCCAGGAGAGCUGGGGUCUUCCCCGGAGACAGCAGGGACCUUCCUCCAGAGCAGGGUCUCGUGCCAACUGAUAAAUGGACAGAGGCCAAAAGCGGGUAGUUCAGAGCUGUGACAUCCAAAUGGCUACUACGUAUAUGAAAAAUGAUUUUCUCACCAGGAAUCAGAAAUGCAAAGCCAAGCAAUACGGCCCUCGUGUGUCAUCCUCUGGGCUGAUGGUGUGACGGCCGAGAGCCUUGUUCAGCUCUGCCUCCUGGGACGGAACCGGCCGGUGUCCUUCCACACACUCCUUUGGGCCUGUCCACGCUGCUCUUGUCAAGCUGUCCCCAGGACAACGGAAAUGGACAACAGCGCUGCGCCUCUCGUGGCGCUGCGUGUCAUC